UUUUUAUCAAGAUAAUGAUAAGGAGGACUUCACAGGGUUAACAAAGCUGUGUUUUAUCUGUUGUAUGCAUUGACUCAGAUUCUCGCUUCUACUUUGGUCCAUCCCUUGACACUGUCUCUGUUUAUGUAGAAAUAACUAAUGUUGUUGAAUAUUAGUUCAUGGACAAUGCAUUUAAUUGAAGAAUGAUUGGGGUCUUGCAGGUUAAAUAGUGCUUUUCCUGGCAAAUCCUUUACUUGUAAACCUAAUGCUUUGAUCUACAUGGUGCAUCAUGUUGUAAUUUCAAUGAAUGCAAUAUAGUGAGGUUUCCACUUGAUUAAGUUGAUUUUUUUUGGUGCAGUUUGCCUGAACGUGGUGGAACCCCUGCAAAAGAUCACAAAAUUUAAAGCACAAAUUAUGCUCGGUGGAAAUAAAUUUCAAUCAUUUGUGCUGGUUUGAAAAAUAUUGCGGUAGAAGCUAGAUUUGACUGUAAAACUGGCCCCCUAUCCAGGACAAUUAAUCACCAUCGGGAGUUUCCACCAGCUGUAUUAAUUUGCAGAACUUUGAGGAGACUAAAUGUUAUGCAGAUUUAUUUGGUGCUGAUACAGUAAUGCAAAUGUUUCAAAGGUUUUAAAUGCAUUUUUAUUUCAAAGUUUAUUUAAAAACCGUUCACUCUGUCCUUCUAAAAUGUGGAAAUGCCUCAAUAUAUUUUCUAAAAAGGGAGUUGGUUAGCUCAGCUGGCAGGAUGGCUUGUUUAGCAGUGCAAAGUGACACUAACAGCAUGGGUUCAAUUCCCACUCCAGCUGAGGUUACCAUGAUGAUUCUGCCUUCACACUUCUCCUCUCCUCUCACCUGAGGUGCAGUGACCCUCAGAUUGAACUCACCACCAGGUGUGUCUCUCUAAUGAGAAAGCAGAACUAUGGCAACUUUAACUAUUUUUUCAGUCAUUUAAAAUUAGGUUACUUUUUUUUUGGAAUAAAUCUGUUGUCAGCUGCAAUAAUUGAACUGCAAUACGCCACCACUUUUCAAUAUGUAAAAGAAUAUAUUUAAAACAUCCUUUUUCAGAAAUACUUCAAAACAUAUGAAUAAUGUGACAGGCUGUGACCUAUGACAGGCUUGGUGUUCGGAGAUAUGUAAAUAAUCUUGAGCUGAAACUUGGGAUGAAAAUACCCAUGUAGUAACUACAGUGGUGUUCCAGAAUCCACCACUCCAUCAAUAACCUAUGUAAUCUCGAUAGCCACAAGGCUACAGCUUAACCAUAGGUCAUCUUUUAGCAGGCCUCUCCCUCUACUAUGAUGGCCUGGCAGAUAUGGCCUCUUUUUGUAUUAAAUUUUUAGGAAGUCUUCAGAGCGCGCUUUAUCUGACGGUGCCCUCAUAUUCACUCACCUGUGUUGGCAGCUCCCACCUCUGAUGGUGGGGCUGCCGAUCUCUCAACUCUAGGAGGGUCUUUUAUUGGGAAACCCACCACUGACCUUAAUUGGAUAAGGUGGCUGCUUCUAUGAAGCCACUGCUGCAGAUCUGCGUUCUUGACCCAGAAUUCAUUGAGAUCAGGACCAUGGAACCAAAUUCCAGCCAAAUACUUCUGCGAUUGUUCCUUUCUCUACAUUUAUUCAGAAAUAGUGAAGCAGAUUUUUGUCUCCUGCCGUAAAUAUAACAGGGGAGGGAAGUUAAAAUCCUCAUACUUGAAAAUUAAAAUCUGUUUAGCAAGCUUAUUAGUGAUCUGCCGUUUUCACUUACCAAUGCUUUCUAUCUCGGUAGUCCUUUGGAUUUAAUUUAUUGGCAAGAUCAAAUUACCACUGGCAGCUUUCAUUCACGCGUGCUGAGCGAGAACUAUUAGAGGAUAUGGAUGAAGAUGGAGGCUGCCGCCUAAAGUGUUUACAGGUCAUCAGAAAGCUGAAAGAAGACCAUUGGUGCCCUGGAAAUAAACCAGUCAUCACAUCCUAUCAUCUACAGACACUUUUGUUUUGGACCUGUGAGAAAUAUCCACGCUCUAAAGAUUGGAAAAAUUUCCAGAAAUGCUUUCUGCGGUUGGUAAAGAAACUUCAGAAAUGUGUGUUACAGAGAUACCUGCGACAUUACUUUGUGAAGAGCUUUAACCUUCUUAAAUAUGCUAACACAAAUGAACUGGAUAUUACAUCUCAGAAAAUUAAUGAUUUCUUAAUAAAUCCUGGUGUGUACUUCCAUUAAAUUCCACUGACAUUUUAAAUCAACUGCAAGCUCCAGUGUGUCAAAUCUUACUGACUUUUCAAGUCUCCCCAUCUUUUACCUGAAUUAAAUUGAGUUAUAAGCUAAUAUUAAUACAGUGAAAAGAACAUGAGUAAAAAUAACUAUAAGCAAAUAUCAUGCAAAUAUUUGUACCAGAUUUCUUUCUGAUAUUUUAGUGGAAGUGGAAAUCUCCAUUAAAAUUUGAGAGAAAUGAAUUUAAAAGGACCAUGUUCUGAAGUCAUACAAUAAAAUUGCUGAUAGUGCUUGUAUCCUAUAAUGUGCUGAAAGGUUUAAUACCUUAAGAUUUUUCUUGCUGUGGACUUUAAUGUCUUGAAGAAGAAUCAAAUUUUUCAAAUUAAAUUUUUAUUUGUUCCUGCCA
Molecule: RNA transcript, 2560 nt
Organism: Rhincodon typus (whale shark)
Lineage: Eukaryota; Metazoa; Chordata; Chondrichthyes; Orectolobiformes; Rhincodontidae
Exons: 2
Source: RefSeq, a predicted model, not a curated record